GACGAACCGUGCGAACGUUGUUCGGAUUCACUGGGCUUAAAGGGCGCGUAGGCGGGCGACCAAGUCAGGGGUGAAAUCUUUCGGCUUAACCGGAAAACAGCCUUUGAUACUGGCCGUCUGGAGGGAGGUAGGGGUCUGUGGAACUUCUGGUGGAGCGGUGAAAUGCGUAGAUAUCAGAAGGAACGCCGGUGGCGAAAGCGACGGACUGGACCUCAUCUGACGCUGAGGCGCGAAAGCUAGGGGAGCAAACGGG
Molecule: ribosomal RNA, 253 nt
Filed under: uncultured bacterium
Lineage: Bacteria
Description: partial 16S ribosomal RNA
Rfam family: Bacterial small subunit ribosomal RNA
Source: RNAcentral